CCGAGUUUUAGGGUCUGCGUUGUCCGAGUCAUCGGCGCGCGCCCGAAUCUCCCAACCCUUUGUUUAAUUGACCUACGUUGCUUCGGCGGACCGUGUCCUCCCUUUUCACGAAGGGAGGGCCGCCGGAUGGCCCCCUUUACCGGGGGACGUCUGGAGAGUCUUGUCCGCCGAUGGCCAACCACAAAUUAAAACUCUUGUACCUAAACGUGUCGUCUGAACAAAAACUAUUUUUGAUUGCAUAAUCAUAAAACA
RNAcentral lists this unclassified non-coding RNA (252 nucleotides) under uncultured Ascomycota. RNAcentral's name for it is "sequence contains ITS1". Lineage: Eukaryota; Fungi; Ascomycota. The record is from RNAcentral.